Molecule: long non-coding RNA, 1195 nt
Filed under: Equus asinus (donkey)
Lineage: Eukaryota; Metazoa; Chordata; Mammalia; Perissodactyla; Equidae
Description: lncRNA (ENSEASG00005023575.1)
Source: RNAcentral
UCGUCUGUACCUUCCUGUAAACGUUCUGUACCUUUUUUGCUAUUUUAUUCCCCAGUGCAAGCGCUGUGACCAGUGGCCACACGGCCUCUCCCACCGGCCUCCGUGGUCGGGCCCCUUGUCUGCCUGUAGAUGCUCUAGCAAUGUGGCUCCCACUGUCGCCAGUUCUUGCCGGUGGUGUUUCCUGGUGUGUCUGUAAGGUGGUUCCGUGUAAAAGGCCCCUCGCGUGUGGGAGUCCGCAGCCCCUGUUCUGAGGGCUGGUGGUGGCACGCGCUAGUUCCUGUCUGUGUCACGGUGUUUGCACGGCAGCAGCCGGGCCGUAAUAAAGGUGGGAUUUGCACAGUCGUGGCCACUGGGUGCUCACGCAGAGCUUGUCUGUUCUUGGCAUUUGUAUGGAAAGUCUCACAAUUGGCAGCAGGUUGAAAGGCUUUUUCUCAGACAGAUUCUCGGAAUGAUGGUCUGCCUCCCGCCUUGUGCCAAGAGGCCCGGAGCCCAAGGAGGACAAGACCCCGUGGGUCACGGUGUGUACCUGCGGGCCAGGAGGUGACUCUAGGGAACAAGGUGGACGUUCUUAGCUGAAAAGGAGCCAGCGGCCCUGGAGUGUCCUGCGCCAUGUUGCAGACAGCUGUUUCCUGUGCCCGUGAAGGCUGGGGUGCGGGAGGGCCCCCGGUGGUGGGCUCCGGUCUGAGGGGCACAGGCUGGUGCCCGUCCCCGUUGCCGACCUCAGGGCUGGCGGCUUCUUGGAGCCUUCGGAGGCCAGGGGACGAAUCCUGUGCGGCCUUCAGGUGGACGGGGCCGGCGGAGGAAGCGGGGGCUGCCCGCGGCUCACGGGGAGUAUGACAGUUAGAAAGGCAUGUGGGAAGGAGCCUCCUGCAGCCCGGCCCCUCCUGUGGAAGCAGACGUACCAGUGGGGUCUCCGUUCUAGAAGCGCUAACACUCGGGCCGGGGCCGUGGUGCAGCACAUCGGUGGAAAACGCCGUGCCACGUGCCGGCGUCAGGGCUGGCCCGGCUCCGCUCACGGCUGCCGAGGGGCUGGCAGCGCGUUGGUUCAGGGUUACAGCUCGCCCGGGACGGGGCGCCGUGUGUGCCGAGCCGAGUCCUUGAAUAGAGUUUAUUUUUUCUAUAUUUGAAUUCUCUGUUGUAGAUUUGUGUAAAGGUACAUUCUCUUUUUGAAAAUAAAGAUUUUCAUGUCUUGUAA